Molecule: long non-coding RNA, 317 nt
Organism: Mobula hypostoma (lesser devil ray)
Lineage: Eukaryota; Metazoa; Chordata; Chondrichthyes; Myliobatiformes; Myliobatidae
Exons: 3
Source: RefSeq, a predicted model, not a curated record
UUUAAACCCUCAGUCUGGCCGGGCUUUGCUGGAGACGGGUGGAGGAACUGCCCGUUGUCUCUGAAUUCCCUCCUUGAACAUCUCAGGCUGUGAAAAGCAGGGAGCUCCAGGGCAAAUCGCCAGCAUUUCUCCAUGUCCACUGGAUCUCAGUGAGCAGAUUUUCUGGUCCAAGAGUUGAGCACCUGAGGACAGCUGCAUUUUUGGACUCCUCUAUGUGGAAGAUCAAUACUACAAGUUGCUCUCUGAAAACUGAAUAUAUGAGGAAACAUGGAAGGACGGUAUCACAGAAAACAUUUCAAAGUUCAAAGUAAAUUUAU